UUCCAAGUGAGGACCAGUGGUGAUGUGU
This 28-nucleotide non-coding RNA is filed under the name Homo sapiens (human). Lineage: Eukaryota; Metazoa; Chordata; Mammalia; Primates; Hominidae. The record is from RNAcentral.